GCACUGCUGAAGAGUCCUACAACAGGACGAAACGACAGUCCAGUGC
This is a non-coding RNA of Schistosoma mansoni, 46 nucleotides long. NCBI's taxonomy places the organism in Eukaryota, Metazoa, Platyhelminthes, Trematoda, Strigeidida, Schistosomatidae. The record is from Rfam.